Molecule: long non-coding RNA, 307 nt
Filed under: Mus musculus (house mouse)
Lineage: Eukaryota; Metazoa; Chordata; Mammalia; Rodentia; Muridae
Description: ilncRNA-EC35
Source: RNAcentral
CAUGGCGUUGCCUCUUGCCCUGUUAUAUUGUUAGGGACAAGCAUCAUAAUUUUGCUAGGCAUUGACUUUGCAUUAAGAGGGGACAAAUGCUUGAAGAUCCAUGUAAGAACUAGUUGACCAAGAACUUGGUUGAGGGGCUGAUUCUUAAGCCACCCUGAAAGAAGGUGGCACCGAGGAUGACGACACUGGUUGGUUUUGUUGACCUAACACCAAACUAGGCCUGUCUGGAAAAAGGAACAGCAAUUGAGAAAAAUGCCUCUGUAAGAUUGGCCGGUGGGACAUUUUCUUAGUUAGUGGUAGAUGUGGG